Molecule: long non-coding RNA, 22800 nt
Organism: Gorilla gorilla gorilla (western lowland gorilla)
Lineage: Eukaryota; Metazoa; Chordata; Mammalia; Primates; Hominidae
Exons: 5
Source: RefSeq, a predicted model, not a curated record
CCUGGUGGCCUGUCACUUAUAAGGCACUGCCCAAACAGAAGCAGAGAUGAUUUUUUUUUCUCACUUGCCCAGGAAUUUAAUCCAAAGAACCCAGAGGGAAAUUCCAGUUGGUGGCAGAUCAGAAAGAAAUUACAGUUGAAUCAGAAAGAAGCAGACAUGGGGAAUGUCGCUAAUUUUUUGUCAAUUGUGAAACAUAGGUGCGAAGAUUCAUAAAAUAUUGCUGCUGAAAUCUAGGACUGCCUCAUAUCCAGAGUAACGCACCAGGUGGAGCUUCACUGAGGCCAACUUGUAAACAGCUGGAUUAAAUGGCACCGAAAAUCUUGAGUUUUCUUGGGAAAGAGAAGACAUCAAACAGGCAUAUGAGGUAGAGGAUAAUAAAUAAUAUUACCUCCUUUUCAAGUACCUUGAUUUUUUUGAAGUUUUCUCGAAGUUGGUUUACCAGUUUCACAAUAACACAGAGCAACUAGAAGAUCAAAAUUCCUCGUAUGAGGGAAGAGUAUCUGUGGACCAGGCUGAAAUUUCUGAGGGGACUCUAUCACUUUUACUAAGAAAUGUGGAUUUCAUGGAUGAAGCUAUCUACAAGUGCUCAGCCAUCACACCAGAUGGAAGAAGUGAAAGUACAAUUAAGCUAAUAGUAGAAGCAGGGUAUCUGGAGUUCAGUGGUGAAUCUGGAAUGAAUCCACUCAAAGAGGGGAAGAUUCCAAAAGAUAAAGGCAGUAGUGAUAGAUGAGAACUGAAAGGCAGGAGCAUACAUGUAUCCUGUUCUUCUUUUACUAUGCUUGGAUCAAAAUUUUAACUACAGUGAAUCUCAAGACUCUGAAAUGCCCCAGGUGCAAUUUGACAGGAUUGAUGAUGAGGAUGUGGCCACAUGCAUCUCAAAGGACUAGUACCUCACGCCCAUUGUGACAUGGCUGGACCGGACAGAGAGGGACCUGAGCAACCACAGCAUCGUGGAAAUCCUGGAGGAGCAGAUGAAUGGCUUCUACAGGGUGUUCUCCAUCCUGAAAUACCCUGUCAAGUUAAAUGAGAAAUAUAUCUGCCACAUAACAGAGACAGAUGUGAACAACCAGCUCUUCAGAAUCAUCCACAAGUAUCCAAGCUGACCUUGCAGUGGGCUGGAAUACACUGAAACACGAGUUGCCGGGACAGCAAAGCCUUAGGUGUGCCCACGUGGUUUAUCUCCCCUUGGAUUGGGCACAUUAAUAAGAACUGGUGAUGCCAACCAAGAGGUGAGACCAUCUGAUACAAUGGUGGAGGAUGGGGGGAUAGUAGGGAUGUCAGGGUUGACUGAAACAAAAUGGAUCUGGGAGACCCAGCAUAGCAAAGUAGCACCAGUCUCCACUUUAAAAACAAGGACAGGCCAGGCACAGUGGCUCACACCUGUAAUCCCAGCCUUUUGGGAGGCCUAGGCAGGUGGAUCACUUGAGGACAGAAGUUUGAGACCAGCCUGGCCAACAUGGUGAAACCCCCCUCUCCAUUAAAAAUACAAAAAUUAGCUGGAUGUGGUGACUUGCACCUGUAAUUCCAGCUACUCUGGAGGCUGAGGCACGAGAAUCGCUUGAACCUGGAAGGCGGAGGUUGCAAUGAGCCUAGAUCGCACCACUGUCCUCCAGCCUGGGUAAUGGAGUGAGACUCUGUCUCAGACAAAAAACAAACAGCAACAACAACAACAACAACAACAAAAAAAACAGGGACAAAGUCCUGGGAAUCUGUGGGGGUAGUGUGGCUGCAAAGCAGUUAAGGUUCCAGCAUCCUGGCAAUUAUUCUCUAGCCUAAGGAUGCAGACAGGGUUAAAACCCAGCAAGAAACUCAAAGCUAAAUGAAGUCUCCAUAUGUGUGGCUCAGUAGGGUUCUAGGAGAAGCAACAGAUGUAAUUAGAAGUUCUCAGACAUUGUGUUGCCACAGCAACUGCUGGCCAGGAAGAAAGUGGGGAAAACCUGGAGUCCGAGGAAUACAGUCCUCCAAGGAAAUGCCAGUGGUGUUCAUCAUGCUUGGGCUUCAUGGCUGGCUCCUCCAGCUUGCCCACGCCCAGGCUCUAGAAGGCCCUCUCCCUCAAAUUCCUCCUAAUCCCCAUUCCCACAAAUUCCUCCUAAUCCCCAUUCCCACCCCUGGAGCAAUUUCAAAUGCACAUCAAGGGCUCCCUUCAGAGGGCAUCCAAAGGAAGGAAUGAGGAACUCUCAGAGGAGAGUUUGUGCUGAAGAGUAAUCUCUGGUCUCUGGGGCUUUCUGGAGCUGAGUGAGGAUCAGUGAAGGAGGCUGCAAGUUUAAUUUAUGCAUCACUCUGGAGCACCCAGGAGUGUGGCCUUCAGCCAUAUAUUUUAUCAUCCAAAUGGGGACAUUUGAGAGUUAAAGGAAACCUUUUAAACAGACACACUUGGACAAUAGGCCUAAACUGUGACACAUGGUCACCUUAAUUACUAGGCUGCCUAUGGGAUGGGAAAAUUUGUGGUUUUUAUUUUAGAGAGUGAGGAUGCUAACCUGGUAUCUAUGGGCCUCCAGAAACCCACCCAUAAAUUUUGGGACUGGAUUUUCAAGGGGGCAUGAAUUUUUCAAUACUCAAAAGACCCAAACCCAAACCCAAUAACCUAGGAAAGACAAACCCUAAUUUACUGCUCUGGGCAUGAACUGCCUUUUGUAGCCUUAAUCUCCCUUGAUUCAACAGCCACAGGAGGAUUUUCGAGGGUUCUGCUGCUGGGAAGCUGGGGAGCCUCAGCAGAUGGGACCAUCUUGGCUUCUAAGUCUUGAUCAUUACAAAUCCUUCCAACUACUCCUCUUAAGAGACAAUCAUUCAUUUCACACUUUGUCACCUAAGGGAGAUAGUUCCCUAUUCACUGUUUACAGCAAUAAAGUGGUCAGUGGAGUGGGAUCAUUCCACAGCAGUGAGACCUAAUAUAUCUGCCCCUGAAGGGGAGUGGUUUCCAGGAGUGCAUUCUUACACAUUCUUUAACAUCUGAACUGAAAACAGUGGCACAGGGAUCCUGUAGUCAUGAAAUCAGGGAAAGAUCAGGCUCUCCCAGAGCACCAGCAGAAAUGACUAUGUUUUAGGCAUAAGCUAGCCAGCCUAGAUAUUAUGAGCAUGUGGUUCAGCCACAGGCUCAGUUACAAAAUUGUAGGAUGUUUAAAGGGUAAGGCCCACCCAGAGUGUGUCUCCUAGAAUUUUCUCAGAGACUUUGGGAAUCACAGCCAUCUGGCAGGAGUUCCUGACAGUUACUCAUUGACUCAGGCUGGUGGUGGCCCUCUUCUCAACCCUGGUUUAAGGCUGGGAGUCCCUGGGCCAACAUGCCUCAUUUAUUGCACCUAUUACUCAGACAGGUCCUGAAAAGUAGAGCACAAGUUUCUGAGCUGAGUUUGGAACUUCUCAAGAUUUCUGGGGUGGUCAGGAGGGGCUCCUUAAAACCUGUAAGCAUCAAUUUUAACACCAUUGUUCUCUACUAGGCAUGGGUGUCAGGAAGUUCUGGCACCCUCUACAGGUCCUCUGGAUUUUAACAGUCCAGUUUAGAGGAAUGUUAAUCUUUGGGGAACAAACUAAGAACUACAUAAAAUCAGUUCCUUUGAAAAGAAAAGCAACAAUCCAAACACAAAUUAAUCUGCAUUUCCUUAUCAAUAUCUAACAUGGAAAUAGAUGAAAUCUAUAAGUAAUAUACAGGACAAUCAAAAAAAUACCAAACAUCAUGCCAAGUGCCAGGGGCUCAAGGAAGAGUAAAGCACAGUCUGUGUCUCUAAGGAGCUUGUAGCUUAGGUGAGAAGCUAGGGGAAUGAAUAUAUGCAAUUUUAAAUAACAGAACAACACAAUCUAAUAAGAGAUAACUCAAGACAAUGUGUGGCUAUGGUUAAGUGACAACUGUCUAGAGCAGUGCUGUCCAACAGAAAUAGAACACCCAUCUCAUACAGAAUUUAAAAUUUUCUAGUAGGUACAUUUUUUUUUGAGACGAAGUCUCAAUCUAUUGCCCAUGCUGGAGUGCAGUGGCAUGAUCUCAGCUCACUGCAAACUCCGCCUCCUGGGUUCAAGCAAUUCUCCUUCCUCAAUCUGUUGAGUACCUGGGAUUACAGGUGCCUGCCACCAUGCCCGGACAAUUUUUGUGUUUUUAGUAGAGACAGGGUUUCACCAUGUUGGCCAGGCUGUUCUUGAACUCCGGACCUCAAGUGAUCCACCACCUCGGUCUCCCAAAGUGCUGGGAUUACAGUUGUGAGCCACCGCACCCGGCCUCUGGAAGGUACCUUUUAAAAACUCAAAAGAAAUAAGGUGAAAUUAAGUGUAAUCACUUAUUUUAAGAAAAUAUAUCCAGAAUAUUACCAUCUCAACAUGUAAUCAAUAAUAUGGAGAUAUUUUAGACUUUUUUCGUACUAAGUCUUUGGAAUCUGAUAUGUCUUUUACACUUACAGUACAUCUAAAUUGGACUAGCCACGUUUCAAGUGCUCAGUAGCCACUGCAGCUAGUAGCUAUCGGCAUUGAACAGCACAGUUCUAAACAGUUAUGGCUGGAUGCGGUGGCUCACGCCUGUUAUCCCAACACUUUGGGAGGCCAAGGCGAGGCGAUUCCUUGAGGCCAGGAGUUUGAGACCAGCUUGGGCAAUAUAGCAAGACCCUGUCUCUUAAAAAAAAAAGAAAAAGAGAAAAAAGGAAAUAAAAAUAGUUCUGAGUUCUGACCUCACUGCAUCGGAGGAGGAGGGUUUGAGGAGAAAGAGGACGACCUUCUUUAACUUGGAAUACUUUUCAAGUGGUGUAUAACUGAAGUCAAUAGAGAUUAUCUGAACAUACAGGCAAGGCAGCAUGUCAGGCUGCAUCUGGGACCAGGAUACUGAGUAAUGAGGACCUAGUCCUUCAAAAAUGGGCAGGCGUCAUGGGCACUUAGGCUGAAUUCUGGCUGUUUUCAAUGCCUGUGGACAAGUCAUUUCACCCUUCUGGUCUCCUCUAUAAGAAAGGUAAAAUGUUUGGUACUUCCUCUCUGUAAGACUUUUUAUGGCCUAGCUCAGAAACAAUGACAAAAGGGCUAAUUAAGCUGUACAUAUUUGGAGGCUUCUCUUAGCUAAAUAUGCUUUUUUGGGGGCAUACAAAUCCAUGGACAAAUUUGGCAAUGAGAUAGAUAUAUCUUUUCAAAACCUUUUUUAAAAAUUUUCUUGGCUUGACUGCUACACUCUCUUACUGCCAACUUUCAGUAUUACACACACACAAACACAGUUUCAGUGCCUUGAGAUUAAAGUCAAUGAAAACAUGCACAUUCUAUUCUUCUUGAGACAUUCCUGCCUUGCAUUCUUUCCUUGAAGCAGUUGGGAUGUCACAGCUGGGGGGAAGGAGCUGUAAAACCUACUUAUGCCGGCCAAUCAGGCCUUGGCUGACAGGAGGCCCACCAAUGAGGGACUGCCAGGUAUUCCGUUCCACUGCAACAAAUUCCCCCCUAUUUUUUCAGAAAUUAAAACCCUCUGAGACCCUCAAGCUGUACACAAUGCACAAAGACCUCCUUUUUUGUUCAUUCUGUUUUUCCCCAAGGACUGCAUUAGAAACUCUACACAAAAAUGUACUAGCUUAGUUGCUAUGGAUAGAUUAUCAUUUGUGGUAAAAACACUUCCAAGUAUCAUGUAACAAUAUUGUUCUCACAGCUCUGGUAUCCUUCAUUUUAACUGUGUAAACACUGGAGAAAUGCCACAUAUUUAACUGUUUGGGGUCACCCUGAGGAACUCCCAACUCCACUGAAAAAUGAAGUAGUAUGCUAUGGUAAGUCCGGGAACUCUGACUUAAGGCCACAGGUAAGUGGAGGUGGUUGGCCCCCGGGGACUUCACUCAGUGCUGACCACUGUGUUAGCGGUGGAACGUUCCCCAGAAUGAGACUUCGCCUCUGAGAUCUUAAUGUGCAAAUCCAGUGACACUGAAUGCCUUUUGCUUUGUUUUAUCCAUACUGGAAACAUCACAGUUGCCAUUCAAAUGAAACCAGAGAGAGAGAGUAACAGCAGGAAGGAUCCAAAAAAGUAAAGGUUUCAGCAAAAGGUGAGGUCCAAAGACAAAGGUGACUAGUGACUAUGGGCAAAGAAUUACCAACAACAGAAUUUAAUGCUUUAUUUCAUAUUCUUUGGGACAUUAGCUUCCUCUGGGAAUGGUGCCAAGUUAUAUUAAAAUUGCUGAUCAUGGAAGGAAAGAAUAAAAAUAUUUACUAUUCAGCUAGCCUCUGCUUAACUUCCAACUUCACCUGGGACUGAGAGACUUAGAAUCCAGGUGUCUGAUUAAGCAAGCCCAGCACUACUAUCAUGUCCAAGAUUAAGCAAACUGUUGAUGGGCAAGUGCUGUCAACCAUCUUCCCAGAUGCACAAUAUUCUUGCAAAAUACGGCACAGAGAUGACUAUCAUUAAGAUACAAAGAUUGUAGGCACCUCUCUGUAUUACAUAUGAGACAUUUGGCCUUAUUAAUCCAUUUAGCUAGUGGAUUAAUUCAACAAAUAUUUACUAAGCAUCUACUAUACACUAAGCACAACUGGUUCUAGGUAUUAGAGAUCCAUUGCAGAAUGAGAGAGACAAAGCCCUAUUCUAAAGGGGUACAUGCUCUAGAGGGAGGAAGGUGAAUAAACAAACAAAAAUAAGUUCAUUUCAGCCUGUGAUCAGUAAGUUUAGAGGAAAAUAGAGUAUGUAUGACAGAACUCUGGGAGAGAGGGCACCACUUAGAUUGAGUGGUCAGGGAAUGCUUUCUUGAGCUGGGACCUGAAGGAUGAGAGCAAUUCAGACGAGAGUAGAAAAGUGCAAAGGCUCUGAAGCAGGGUGGAAUUUGUUACAUUCCUGGAACAGAGAAAAGGCCAGUGUAGCCAUAGCACUGGGUCCAAAAGCCAGAGCAGCAAGAGGUAAGCUGGGAAAAGCUGGCAAGGGGUAGAGCAUGUAGGGUCUUAAAGGUACUGAUCAUAAGUCUGUAUUUUAUUCUUAAUGCAAUGGAUGUCACUGGGGGUUUUGCUCAGGGAGUGACAUGAUCAGAUAUUGUUUUACAAAGAUUACUCAGGCUGUCCUGUACAGAAAGAGCAAGGUCGCAGGAAAGAGAAAGCGGAGAGCAGCUAGGUGCUAUUGCAAUAGUCCAGGCACAAUGAUGGCAGCUUGGCUAGGAUGGUGGCGGUGGGGACAGAGGACAGUCAGUGGAGAGGUGAUACAUUCUGACAGUACAGAAGGCAGGACUUGCUGAUAGACUGGGUAUGAACAGAGAAAGUGAAAAAUAAAAGAGAAAAUUCCUGGGUACAUAAGUUGAUAUCCAAAAGCCCAGCCAGUUCUAGGCAGGUGUGCACAUGGCCAUGCUGAUGGUCCAUUCUAGAGUCACUACCAAGAGGAUCUUCUCUGAGACAGGCUCUGGGUCCAGACAAGUCCCUUGCCUUCCUGAGGAAACUUAGUUUAUGAGGUGAGUUCAGCAAGGCCACUAAGACCUGGGUUCACAUAUAAAUAGAUCCUGUUCAUGGGAAGUCUGUCCGUGGAACACUAGCCUUGAAAUAUUUAUGGCCUUUUUUGAAAUGGUGUUCUGUGGUAAAAUGUUUGGGAAACAUUACUUAUUAUACUUCCUUCUAGAGUCAUAAACGCACACGAACUUUGUAAAACUCUGGAACAUCCUCUAACUAAAAAACCAUUUAACCCAGCACAUAUAUGGACUUCACUCACUACACACUUUGGGUCUAGGCUCUUCAUGUCUCUCCCUAUGGUGUUAUUACCGUUCCUUGGAAUUCAAGCCAUAACAACAAGGAGAACAAUAGCAACUACUAUUUAUUGAGUACUUACCUUGUGGGAGGCACCUUUGUAGACAUCAUCUCCCUUGCCACACACUAUGUACAGGUGCCAUUUUAAUUUACAGCUUUAAUUAUCAUUUGUGAGUUGUGCUUACAGAGCAUACAUUUACUUACAAAAAACAGCCAGGCACGGUGGCUCAUGCCUAUAAUCCCAGCACAUUGGGAGGUUGAGGCAGGGGGCUCACAUGAGGUCAGGAGUUCAAGACCAGCCUGGCCAACAUGGUGAAACCCCGUCUCUACCAAAAAUACAAAAAUUAGCCGGGCGUGGUUGCAGGCACCUGUAAUCCCAGCUACUUGGGAGGCUGAGGCACGAGAAUUGCUUUAAUCCAGGAGGCAGAGGUUGCAGUGAGCCGAGAUCCUGCCACUGCACUCCAGUCUGGGCGACAGAGCGAGACUCUGUCUCAAAACAAAAACAAACAAACAAAAAACAGUGAUAUAUCUUUUCUGAUCAUAUAUAUCUGCAGUGUUCACUCACAGUAUUUUCUCAUGAAGCACUUAACAGAAAUUCUUCACUCAAUCGCCUCAUCUGCAUUUGCUUAACCCACUAAAAUUAACAGUUUCCCACGUGCAUCACCACCUCCCUUCUUCCAGUCUUCCUCAUCACUAUUUUCCUCCUUCUUAUUUGUUCUACCCACUUCUAGGACAAGAACCAUUUGGGGGCAGUUCAUUACAUGCUUUGAACACUCUUAGGCUUAGAAUUCCUAACUUUUGUCUCUUUCUCAGAGACUGUCAUGACUUUCUGAAUAUGGCUACUGUCACAUCUGAGCCCAUAGACUGUCAGUCUAGAGCCUCAGCUAUCUAUCUGAGCCCCAAAUACAUGCACACACUUCAGCCUAGGCAGAGAAAAGACUUUUUCCUGGAGUCAGAGUCAAACAACAAAUCACUGGAGAAUGAGGAAGUCUUUACAUUCCAGGCCACUGUAACAUGAGUAAUUCCAGUCAUUACACGACAAUGCCAUUUACACUGGGCAAAAUAAUUAUAGCAUUACCUGGAAAAUAACCCAAUCAACCAACGGAAACACAGCCACUGGGGAGGAACCCAGCUUGCUCUCUAAUCCACACAGCAAUUCCAUGGAGCAACUUAAAACAGGAAAUGAAGAGACUUCUAUUUGAUCAAAUGUGUAUGGGGAAUUUGGAGGAAAAACUCAAUUACCUAAGCUGUAAAAUGACCAAUAUAGUGGGGUAGUCAUCCUCAAGCGCUGGUUGUUUUUACAGGAUUUCAUAUCCCUAUCACAGUUUAUUUUUGUCAAAAAAAAAGUAUCUAAAAUAGGACACGUAAUAAACAAAAACAACCCCAACAUGGUUUCUUAUUAUCUAGCUUAUGUAUGUUCCUUUGUAGAAAAUGAAAAAACACAAAGACUCUUCUCCAAUUGUAUCUGUAAGAGGAAGCGGUUAACUUUGUAACUAUCCUUUAAAACAACAUGGUCCACAAGUAGCUUGGGGAGUUUUAUUAAGAAAGAAGUCUGCAGUGAGUACUGAAAUUAUUAUACCCAACAUUUAGCCAAGACUUGAAUGUCUGGCCUCUACUCAAAACAUUUCCCAGUCCCAUUCUCCCUUCUAGUUUCAUCUCCCAAGAAAGGAGAUUGAGAAACCCAAAAUGGACUCACACCUGAAGUGUGUUCCUACUGGGAACUGGGGUUUUCUUUGAUCACUAUCAAGCCCUUGGUGCCACACAGAAAAUUACCCUUCUGUGGAACAGGAGGCAGACACCAAUUAAUGCAUAAAGUGAAUGUCUUUCUCCUUAAAAUAAAUAGCUAAACCAGAAAAUCUGCAUCUCUGCAUGUGGCUGUCAGCAAGACCAAGGCCACACAGGAUAAGAAAGGAAAGAAAAUAGAAAAUGUCAAGGAGGGAAAACUAGAGGAAGGGGAACAAAGCACAAACAGACACAUUCCUGAAAGAUUGUUGGGACUCUAGGGAGAAGCCAGGUGAAUUUCCUGCUUCUGAUGUAGGCCUCAGCCUGUCCCUGUAGCACCAUAAUUAUAGCACAUAGUGCAAAACCAGGGAUGGUGGUGCCCUGGGAGAAGCGAAGCUGCGUGCUCCGAGUAUUUGUGAAUGACUGGCAAGCAUACAUCUGCCUCCAUCCCAAAGCAAGUUUUGUGAGCUCGGCUGGGCCACCAAGAAGCCAUGCUGGGCCCUCCUGGUAGGGACCCUGACAGUAAAGGGAACUCAGUAUGUCUGAGUCUUUGCUCAGGGUGAGCAUCUGUAUUUCUGUUUCAAUAGUGCUUAGCCUCUCUGAUAGAAAUUCCACUGUAUCAAUUUCACACUACAGUUUAGGUGAACCAGGUAUAUGUGUGAAGGGGAUCAGAAAUUUCUCGGACCAUCUUUGAGGUCCCGUCCAUUUUCUUUUUCUCUGUCACAAAUGUUAUGCCACAAACUACAAACUUGGGCCCUCUCAAUAGCUAAAAAUACAUGUAAUUAGCCCAACCCUUACAGAAGCUAAUAGGGUAUGUUGGCUGUGGGAUUAGGGAGGGAAAACCUAUGUCUUAUUUUUGGAAUAUGGUAGGGAAUGAGUGAAUGAAUGACAUGCACUUAUUAAAUUCAUUGACAGGCAAACUUCACACCAUAAAAAUAAGUACUGGUUUAUGUGCCUAGGCUUAGAAAGAAAUCAGGGCAGUAUAACAUAAGUCAAACACUAAACUAAAUUAAAACAAAACAAAUUCCACAGGAAUUUUUGUGAGAAAAGUCUCACUAUUAGAGCUAUAGGGAGAUGGCCAUGUUCUCCUAGUGGUGAAAUUUAAGUCAGUGUCUAUUUGUGUGUGUGUGUGCAUGUCUCCUUGUGUAUUCUGUAUGUACACAGACACAUAUCCAUGCACGCACGCACACACACACACACACACACACACACAGUCUACCCUGGGGCACAGCCAAUUUUAAUUCAAUUCUAACCUGUACUGUACCCUUACUAGAAAAGCCACCUCCAAUAUUGAGCUGGCUGGCUCCCCAGUCAGGAUCAAUAGCACGAUUUAGCACAUUGGGAUUUUCUAGUGAGAUUUGGGAACUGGAGUACAGGCAAGGUACCAAGCAUUUCAGCAGGACUAAAACAUCUGCAUUGGCCUCUGCUUCCUUACUGUGUUCACCCUAACAAGUCACUUGAUUUAACCAUUGGGUCAAAGCCAAAGACCAGUGCCCAUGGGCUGUAGUAAGAGCCUGAUCUGACCAGAGAUCAGGGCCAGGGGAGCAGGGCAGGCAAUUCAUUAAUACUUGUUCAGGAGCUCCUGGAUCCUGAUCAUGGGCCAGGCAACAUGAUGCAAAGGUAAAAAGAAGCAUUCCAGAAAACAAAAUUAGGGUCCAUGCAAUAGUUUCAGACAACUAUUUCUGUAAGCCAUUUGCAAUACUGCAUCAUUAUUUUUAAAAGAAAAUGUGAACAUUUACCGAAGUGAGAAAAAGUUUUGUUUGCUUUUGUUUUUCAAGUAAGUUCAAUAAAUCCCAAAUUGCACACUCUGAAUUAGGGGUUGUCUUCCCUUUUUCCCCCCAAAAUUUCUUGAUCGACUACAAGGAGACCCAGGAUUCUUCAUUUCUUCCCCAGUGUUGUUGAGCGGUUGGCUUCUGAAGUGGAAAAUCAAGUGAUUCCUUUCUGUAGAGUAAACAGCAUUUGGGAUUCCUGGGCAUGAAGACUGUUCAGGUGCCACAUGCUGUACUGUUUAUAUUCCACUCACUACAUGGCGAGAGAAAGUAAAGGACACAAGAUGCCUCCUGUUUUUAUUCACUCUGUUUUCUCAUCCUUGAGCCAGCCUAUCUUUCAAACUGUUCUUCACUAGGCUGUAAAUCACCAUAAGAGUUAAUCAAAUAUCCCAAUUCCAUUAAGUAGAAUAUUUUGACAAUCUAGCCUAGAAUAUCCACCUCCUUUUAUAUGAAUAGGAUUUCAAAGCUGCAUUUUAGAGCCCACCUACUCUAACCCCCAUAUUUGGCAGACGAGGAGUCAGGUGGCUGCUCAUUACCUGGGGUGCCACUGUCUGUCCUGAGUUAUUCAUCCCAGCCCAUCUCUGGCCAGUAAAUGGAGGUUCGUUUGAAGCCAGCUCACACCAGGGAUGUCUGUAAACUCAGCCACAGUUUCAGCCAGCACUGCUGCUAUCUUCACUCUGAACCUUUCAAGGCAGCUGAAUCCUGACAGGCUCAUAAAUUCACUCACUUGUUUCCUAUGUGUGCGACUCGUUGCCACUCCCCCGGGACAGUUUAAGCCUAACUAAGAAAACUGGGGAAACGAGUGAGGACGGACAACCAAAGUAAGAGCUGCAGAACCACGCAGAUUGUGCUAAAAAGGCACAGAGCCAAGCAGACAGUGUCUAGACUUUAACUGGCCUCUCCCAGCGGAGAGGCGUGCAGGGAGGAGGGGAGAGCAAGGCCGGAAAGCCUGCUCGGGUUUUGUUCAGCUAAUGCAAACACAUGACACAACCUCUGACAGGCUCCAGGCUGGGGGUUUACUCUAAGACAUUUCUUCCCAGGGGCUGGAAUUCAGCUGGAGGCUGAGGAAAUUCUGCUAAUCCAGCAAUCAGAAGGAAGCUGGGAAUACUUGUUUUAAUUCCUGGGGAAUCACAGUUCCCAAACUAGACUGACUUGUGCAACAGCCCAAAGUGGCACACUGUGGGUACAAGAAACCAGAUAUUUAAGAUUUCCAUGUCUGUCAUCUCUGCUUAUCUAUGAGGAAAAUCCACAAAAACACAGAAUUGGCUUUUGAUGGAGGCCUAGUACAAAAACUUUGCAAGAGUCUAAAUGAAAUCAAUUUAUAAGAUGCACAAAUGUAGAAAUGACCGCCAUAGUCUAAUAAACAUCACAUGACUCAGAGAUAACGUUGGGUUUGGGGAGCUUUGCACAUCAGUUAGAAAAAAAUGUGCUCCUUCCUGUGGGUGGGCAGAGAAGCCCUGUGCCACACACAGGUACAUGACACACUUGUGCAGUGAACAGUCUGUACAACCCUACCUAGCAACUCUGCUGGCGUUUUAGAGCUGUCUUGCCAUUUGGCCUUAUUUAAUGCGGAACAGUUGUGAAUACAUCUGAAGAACAAAGAAAUUGCCUUAAAACAUCCCCCAAGGCUGGGCACUGUGGCUCACGACUGUAAUGCUAGCACUUUGGGAGGCUGAGGAGGGAGGACCGCCUAAGCCCAGGAGUUAGAGACCAGCAUGGGCAACAAGGUGAAACCCUGUCUCCACUAAAAACACAAAAAUUAGCUGGGCCUGAUGGCACAUGCCUGUAGUCCCAGCUACUCUGGAGGCCGAGGUGGAAGGAUUGCUUAAGCCAGGAUGUAGAGGCUGCAGUGAGCUAAGAUUGUGUCACUGCUCUCCAGCCUGGGCAACAGAGCAAGAUCCUGUGUCAAAAAACAAAACAAAACAACUGCUACAAAAAAACCCCCAAAACUCCUAAGUCACUGAUCAUUAGGCUGCAAAUGCUCCACUGUAAAAACUGCAUUCCAAUGUGACUCAGAAGUAACUGGACCUAAUUCCAAAUGGAGGUCAUGCCUGCCAUGUCUAUGUGGCCAGAAUGGCCAAGCCUGAAGUGUCAUUCCAGGCAUAUAGCCAUAUAACAACUGAUGUUACCUGGAAAGUUAAAUGACUGGGUCUCUACAAUGCUGAGUGGAUGUUACCUAGCAGAAGCGUCUUUGGUUUUCAAACUUCCACAAGACACAGUGACUAUCAGUCAUUUUUCAGAGCUCAGCUGGUGGGUCACUUCCUCCUGGAAGCGCUCCUGAGCCCUUCGUGCUGGGUUAGGUUUUCAGCCCUGUCCCAAUACUUCUCACAUUGCAUCACUUUGAGCCUGUGUUCCUGUCUGCCUCCCCCCUGGACUGCAAGCUCUUUGGGCACAAGGUCUCUUAUCCACCAGCACUAACUCAGUGCCUGACAGAGAACAGAUCUGCAAUACCUUUUGCUUUCCUCUUUUGAGCUGACUUUGAAAAAUUUUACUUUGUCCCAGAUGAGUGACGCAAAAGUGUAUUGAGACUUUGUGCAGUUUUAUCUCUGCAUCUAAUGUGAACGUGGUGGUUCGUGAAUGUUUGGCAGCUCCUACUGCGGCCCAGACACUUCAGGAUGACCUCUCUGUAAUGGUGAGAGAAGGAAAAUAGAGGAGAAAGAUGAAGGGAAGAGCAAAGAGCAACAUAAGGAGUGGUACAGAGAGCUGGCUCCAGGGCCAGGAAGGGGUGGGCAUGUGAGGCUGGCAUCGGCCUGGCUGCAGACACAGCAGCCCCUCCCUAGUGGGACUGCAGGUCUGUGUGCAAAGUACCAGAAGCUGUGGCCUUGGCUCCCAAAGGGACAAAUUCCAGCUUGCUCCAGGAAUACUUCUUACCCUGUCUUUGAGAGUAAUUGGCACUUAUUUUUGAAAUAAUGAAAGCAAAGGAUCCUAUUCCUUUGCAUUAUCACAUUUUCCACACCAACAAUUUGAAAUUUAUUGCCUGGUAACAGGCCAUGCUAUGAAGACCACAGCAAAAUGGAAAUGACCACCCAAGAUAUCUGUUUGCCCCCUCCAUACAUACCUCUUUUUUUGCCUUUUCUUUCUGUUUUCUUCCCAGUUAUUUCCAUUCACUCACUCUACCUUUAGGGAGAACUUAUGCUGGCUUCCCAUCCUACUGCCUCUGCACAGGAGAUACUCCAUGAGUACUUCAAUCUCUCCUGGAGGAAUGAUAGAACUGUGGCUUCACAGAAGAAACACUACACAGAAGUUUAAGGGCAAGAUUAGCUCAGUAGAAGCAAGGGUUCUGAUAUAAAUUCUGGGCCUUAAAGCAUCCACUGAAGUAAAUAUCCUAGUUUUCUCUUUAAAAAAGAAGGUGAUAAUUAAAUCUCUGGAGAGAGAAAAAGAAGCAAGGAGACUUCUGUAUGCCAUAAGCACACAUAUACACGUGCGUGAAUGUGCAAACACACGUGUGUACACACAUGUACACACACGCACACACACACCCAUGGCUUUUGGAGUUCGUCCCCUAGAGAUGCCCUGAGGAUGAUAAAACCAACUAACACUGCACACCGUGUGCCAAAACACUCUGCUUUACAUGUAAGAGCUUAUUUAAUUCUCACAACUAACCUAUGGGGUAGAUACUCUGGAUUAAGCCCAUUUUAGAGAUGGGGAAACAGGCUCAUAGAGGUUUUAAGUAGUUUUCCCAAGAUCACAUGGCUAGUAAGGGCAGUGCUAGGAUUUAAUAUAGCUUCCAGGUCUGAGCGCUAAGCCAUUAUGUUAUACCUCCUCUCAAGGAAAAAUCAGUAAUCAGAGUAACAACCUGAGCCAGCACAAAGGCUGUGCAAAUAAAGACCAUGCCUAGUGGAUGUUUACUUGUAUACUGAGGAUUCUCCUGGUGAAAUCAUUACAGAGUCAAAAACAUAAGCGACCCUUCAUCUCUUGCAGGUAUUUGUUUUUGGCGUUGACUAUACACCAUGAGUAGAGGAGACCUUUUCCAAGAUCUAAUCGAGUAGACAGGUAGAGACACAGGAAUGAUUCCCAUUCUACUGGUAAGGAAAGUGACUUCGGGGAGGUUAAGUAACUUGCACAAGGCCUCACAGCUGGACAAGGCCAGAAUUCAAACUCAGUCCACUGCCCCAAAGCCCUCGCUCUUAACUGAAGAUACAAGUUAGAGACAUUAUGUGACUUUAAAAAGGUGCCCAGGAAAGGGCACAGCAGGACUUCUAAGUCAGACUCUUUCAUUGUUCUACAGCGUUGCUCUUAAUAACAAAAUGGGUUUUUUACAGAGUCUAUGAAAAAGAUAGAUUUAGGCCUGGCAUCGUGGCUCACGCCUCUAAUCCCAGCACUUUGGGAGGCUGAGGCGGGUGGAUCACUUGAGGGUGGGAGUUCCAGACCAGCCUGGCCAACUAGGUGAAACCCCAUCUCUACUAAAAACACAAAAAUUAGCCAGGUGUGGUGGCAGGCGCUUGUAAUCCCAGCUACUCAGGAGGCUGAGGCAGGAGAAUCACUUGAACCCAGGAGGCGGAGGAGGUUGCAGUGAGCCGAGAUCGCACCACUGUGCUCCAGCCUGGGUGACAGAGCGGACUCCAUCUCAAAAAAGAAAAAAAAAAAAAAAAGCAGACUUGGAGACACCCAGAAAUGAGAACAAGAAAAGACAAAGAAAAAUGGGAAGAGAAAAAGAGCAGACCCCCAGAACGGUCACAAGGUGAGAUAAAGUGAAGGGGAACAUCACACUCUGGGGACUGUUGUGGGGUGGGGGGAGGAGGGAGGGAUAGCAUUGGGAGAUAUACCUAAUGCUAGAUGACGAGUUAGUGGGUGCAGCGCACCAGCAUGGCACAUGUAUACAUAUGUAACUAACCUGCACAUUGUGCACAUGUACCCUAAAACUUAAAGUAUAAUAAAUUAAAAAAAAAAAAGUUCCACACAAAAAGCUGCCAUCUACUGGACAUACUGAUUAGGUGGACAGGCUGAAAAGGGGUCCAGCUGCCCAAGUGGAGUCUUUCAAAUUCUGAGAAGGCAGAGGCCGUCUAUCCCACUGCCAUGUUUCAGGAUUUUCUGAAGUAGUGCCAAGAGGUGAGGAAGGGGAAUUUCUGCUAAAGCCUUACAUCUGACCCCUAAUGGCCAAGCAGCGAUGGUGGUAGCAGCUCCUUCAGAACAGGGAUCUGUAUGGUAAGGCUUUUUAGUCCCACACUCUUCCUAAUAGUAGCUUAUGUGCAAACUGACUAGCAUAAUGCCUGACACUUCUGUAGAUCCAUAAAUUACACUUAUUAACUGUCAUUGAAGGAUAAGAGGAAAGACAGGGGAAAAGACAAAUUUUGCCUCAGACAUAGGAUUUUAAAUCUUGAAACAACAAAAAGUAUAGAAAGACAGAGAGACAUUUUCCUUACAUCAAUUCAAGCCAAUAUCCCAUGACACACACACACACAUGCACACAUGCAUGCACAUAUAAAUCUGGGCCUGCAACAUGUGAUAGCUUUUGUCAUGUAUCACAUGACCUGUUUGUCAACAGCUUAGUUGGUCACAAAUGGUGUCCAGGAUUAUUCAAGGGACAUAUGGGCGUCACACAUUCAGACUUAAUCCUGGGAAUAGUUUAUUGGUGAUGGCUUCCAAAUGAGCAUCUAAAGUCUAUGAAAAGAUUAAAUGGAAAUCCUCCAACCAAAGCAAGAAAUGAAGAUUUAUGGGAAUUAUUUUGUACUCCAACUACCCAAAGAGCAUCCUAUUAGCAACUUAUUGCCAGGCUAAUGCAAAAGCUGUUAUCUAUGACAGCAGCAGCUCUUAGAACUUUAGCAAGAGCAACUGUUUACUUCAUCAGAAUAGCCAAGAAAAUUCUCGUUAUAUUUUUGUUGACUGGGCCAAUGUUAGAAGGUCUGGCUUACUUUAAGGUGUUCAGAUUCAUCCAAACAGCUUAGAAGCUUGGGCCAAAAUCUGGCGUAAGUGCUAUUUUCCUGACAUUUCAUCCAUUUGCUAACCCAGUUCUAUCAUCUAUUACCCCAUGUUGUUUUUGUCAGUUUCAUACAGUCCCAAACUCUGCCUUCUAAUUAUCUUAAUUUUGGCUAAAGAUGCGUCAAUGUUUGUCAAAUUGGACUGAUUUACCAUCCAGCAGGGAUGGUAAAUAGCUUUCAUCUCAUAUAGACUCUGAUUGCUAGUGGCUACCUAGAACAUUGCUGAGUAGGAUUUUCAAACCUUCUCCAAGUUCAGUAGGAAAGAAUUCUAUGAUUGAUUAGAAAUGUCUGUCAUGGGUAAGGGAGAGGGUAAUGGUAAUAUGUAUGCCACGUCUGUGCCAUCUCUGAAAGGCCAUUUACCACCCCACCUUUUUCUCCUUAAGCAAUCCCUGAAGUCCUACCCCUUGGAUAUUUCAUCCAGUGCCUUGACAUCGUGACGAUUCUUGUGACCCCCUCCUUUUUUCGAGAGGAAUUUUCCCUUCUCCUAAUAUGUGGUAUUUUAUUUAAAUAAAAAAGUUAAUGUGUUAUUUUCUGAUAAAAUAUGAAAAUAAAAUAUGCCAAUUAAAAGCUUAGAGAAUAUAGAAAAGACUAGAGCAAAGAAUAAAAUGACCCAUAAAUCCACUACCUACAGAUAAUUUCUAACACAUUUGUUUGUUGUACUUUUCUAUAAAUUUUUACAGUCGUGAGAAUAAAGCUGGGGGGUGUGUGCUUUUUAAAUUAAAUUAUAAUCAUUUGCCAGCGCUUCAAAAUGUUUUUGUAAAUGCUUUUGGUGGCACAUACAGCUGUUCCAUGAUUUAUUUAACCCUUCUCCUACGGUUGACUAUGUAGUCAAUGUUAAGUUUUUUGCUGUCAUAAAUAACAUGACUGACAUCUUAUGUAGAGUCCUUUCAAAAGUAAUAAUGACCAGGGCAAAGUGGUCUAACAGAAUGAUUUGAGUUCUUUGCGGAAUUCAAUAUAGAUUACAGUGAACCCUGGAAUAUCUAUCCAUCCACAAAACAGUCAAGAAAGCUCCCCAAAGCUGAUCUAAAGUUUACUAAAAUGGAUUCAUGUCAAUUAAGGCUGUAUUUCACUGUGUUUGCUGCACAUCCUUGUAGCUAACAAGGAAAGCCAUUUAUUGUUAACAAGUUAAAAUGUUAAAAAUAACAUCCAAAUAGUAAGUCUCAUAUAGAGAGGGUUAAUUUAUCUUUCAUUAAUUAUUGAAGGUUUGCUGUUGUUAAAACAUGGAUUAAAAACUUGCUAAAUGUUACCUUGGCUAGAUACCAAGAGAAGAGACAGAUUAAAAGAUAGCCAUCUUUGGGCACAGAGUCAUGAAAUGUACCCUAGGUCAUCCCUAUCCCUCAUUUUCUUCAUGGUAACUUUUCCUGUAUGUAACUUCAUGGUAACAUACAGGUUCAUACCUUUCUGUACCAACUCCCUCAGUCUUGUCGCAUGGUGCCUACAUGGGCCAGAUGUAAAAGUUCAUGAAGCUAUACAUGGAAGAUUUGUGCAUUUUGCUACCAUAAAAGGAUCUUACAAAGGAAGGCCCUACAUUAAUGUAAAUUAAAAAAAAACAGCAAUAAGUAUAAAGCUACUAGUUACUCUGUAGUUAUAAUAAUAUAAACUGUAGCUGCCACGAUUUAAAGCACCUGGACCCACCGCUAGACUGUAAAUAAUGUGAGGGCAGAGACCAUGUCUUGUGCUUCACUGUGACUCUGACCUGAGUACCAGGUGUGCUCAGCUGCAGCAGGGUAUAGGCUCGAUGAGGACAGUGAAGGGAAGGCCACGCCAUUCAUGGAAUACUCUCAGAGAAAGCACCCCUUGCCAAAAUCACAGGAGUCAGAAUAGAGCAUCCUAAACAAAAAGUAUGCAUUUGCCCUCUGAGGACAUUAAUCAUCUGGCUUACAAAGUGAACCUAUCUAACUGUACUUUUUUUCCCUAUUAACUGGUAUCGUUAAGCUAAUAAAAUUUAUGUCUGUUAGAAACAUUCUGCCAGAUGUCCAGUUAUUUGAAGAGGACUAAGACAAAGAAUCCAUGACAUUUUCAAUUCUCAUAUGUGAUCAUUGGUAUUUACAGCUCAUCCUUUACUUCCUGUUCUUGUGGCAGCAUGUGUUGCUCUGGCCCACUGACUUCGAAGACUUUCUUUUCGUCUUCGGGGCAUUUCCUCUCGGAUCAUUACAUCCACUUCAGCCCAUGACCAGAUCUUCACCUCAUGGUUCCUCUCCAACUUGCUUCUAUGAGCCUGGGGAUGGAGUCCUGGUUUCUGUCACCCAAUCCAGAGACUUCUAGGGGAACUGUAACGUGUCCACCUUCUAAAGCCACUUGCAAUGGCCAGGACCUCGUAUGCUGGGUGCUUGCCCUUCUGUUCUGGCUAGUCUGCACAGCCCCUGCUAUGUUUUACACCCCAAUUUCCAGCAAUGGUCUUUAGAAUUGCAAGAAGUAGCUUAUUUGCCAAAGGAUAAACAAGCAAGAGAUCAUUUUAGAGAUCUUUUUAGCUUUGUUAAUAAUACAAGUUGUGGCACCAAGAAGAUGCAGUCAGAGAUAUGGGUUGGAUGCAAGGCUUACUUGAGUCUACCAUCAGAACAAUUCUAAAGAACAUAGAGGAGCUCCCAAAUAUAACCCCUAGCGUACAAUGCCGAUAACAGGGUACAGUGAGGUUAAGAAACGUGGCCUCAGGACAAAGCCCUCAUAAUCUUCUAGUAUUGCAUGUCUAGAGCUAAGUGAAGUACAUCUAUUUGUAGAAUUGCUAUUGUUCUCUCUUAGGUAAUACACUCAAAGUUCAUGGGUCAAGCAUGGAUCCCUUACUGGAAUGAGGAUUCUGAACAACGAAUCAGUUAACUGUACAUGUGACUUAUCAUAAUGAAUUUCUAGACCUGGAAUGCUGGGAAUCAUAGUGACAGCAGAGACAUCCACCAAGGGAGAGUGGGGGUAUGCUUGGGUACUUGCCAGGGCUGUCUUCCUAAAGCAGGCAGUUGGGCCACAGGGUUCUCUCCAGCCUGCCAUGUUAGAGUGACAGAUAUCCACUGACUGAGCUUCAAGGGCACACACACUACCGCCUGUGUUCUUAACAUUUUCCCAGGCUCCACACUAUGCAUCCACCAUCAACACUUCUCAAUGAACUGUAGUAAUUCCCAAUGGGAGGGGGAUGGGAAAGAGUAGAUGAGCAGGCUCACACAGUCCUCUCCCCAGAGAAUCUAGAAAAGGGAUAUCUGUGUAAUUAUUAGUGGAGGCACUCCCUCUGCUGCUGCCCUCUCUGCCUAGUCCAUUCACAUGUUAAUCUACACACAUCUAGAGACAUAUGCUACACCCAGUACCUUUCAAGCAGACUACAGAGUGCAUGGGUGUGUGUGCUCAGGUGGAUGUGGCAGAAUCUGGAGGGAGGCUGGCUGAAGGUAUAUGCUGCAGACAGAGUAGUAAGAGAGUGAGCAGGUAAGAAAGAGAAGAAGCAAUCAGAAAGCAACCCUGAAGUGCCAAGGAAGUAGGAGACCAUGGAACACAUUCAAAACAAUAUGACACUUUGCUUAAUGAGUUUGUUUCUAUUUUUUUAAGUACAAGGUUUCACUCUGUUGCUCAGGCUGGAGUGCAGUGGCACCAUCACAGCUCACUGCAGCCUCAGCCUCCUGGGCUCAAGUGAUUUUCCUGCUUCAGCCUCCUGAGUAGCUGGGACCAGAGGCGUGUGCUACCAUGCCCAGGUAAUUUUCUUAUUUUUUGUAGAGAUAUGGUCUCACGAUGUUGCCCAGGCUGGUCUCAAAUUCCUAGGCUCAAGCAGUCCUCCCGUCUUGGCCUCCCAAAGUGCUGGGAUUACAGGCAUGAGCCACUGAGCCCAGGCUCCUUUAUGACUUUUGUUAAUAGCUUUGUGAAUCUAACCAAAUGGGAUUGACAUAGACUGGCAUUAAUACUGAUGACAAUCACCUUUUCCCAAGUGGAGAGCACCUCUGAUUCUGGUUUACUACAGAGGCUCUGGCUUCUUCAAAUAUCAACACUUUACAAAUGAUUUGUAAAGUGAUUAAAUUGUUUAAAAAUAUGCUGAAUUAAAUAUUUAUGGUUGCAGAAAAGCAGAAAGCACCAAGAAGGCUCAACUUAUUUUCUAAAUUUCAUUUCUAAAAAGUUCAACAAUAUUUGUACAAUUUUAGCGAUUUGAAGUUUACUAAAAUAGAUUCAUGUCACUAAAGACUGUAAAUAUCAUGAUGUGACCAUUUUUGCAGACUGUCCUUAGAGUUAACAAGGAAGAAAUUUAAACGGCAAGCACCAUUAACUACAAGAUAAAAUGCUUUUAAAAAAUCCAAAUUACAAUUCCCAUAGGGAGAGGGUUAAUGUACCUCUUCAUCAAUUGUUAGAGGUAUAUUAUUAUUAAAUGGAUUAAAAACUUGCCAAAUGUUACUUGGCCAGGCACCAGGAGGUUGGAAUAAUUAAAAGAUAAUAAUCCUUAAUAACCUGGAGCCAUGAAAUGUAACCUAGCUCAUACCUACCCCUCACUCUUUUCAUUGUAACCAUUUCCAUACACUGUGAGUUCACAGCCUCCUUUCUCCACCAACGCACUCUGUUUUCACAUCUCAGUACUUCUCUAUUUUGCCUUCUUCCCUGUAGUUUGCCUGGGAAUUAUGUGAGAGCACUGGAUGCUCUUCUACCUCCAGCAGGAAAUUGCUGCUGGGGGAACUUCCUACCAGGGAUAAGUUUUCCCUGUGAGGAAGGGGGUUGGGAGGGGUGUGUGUCUUGCAGGCCGCCUAGAAUAGACUCCAGACCUUGGGCCACACAGCCUGGUAAGUCAACCAACAGCCUCCUCACACCUCAUAUUUGCAUUCCAGUUCACUGAGUGAUUUCACACACUGGCUGGCAAUUCUUGAGCCUGCUGGAAAACCAACCAGGGAUUCACCUCAUCCAUCACUGGUCUGCAACUGCCUUUUAAGGGCCACAGCAGGGGAUGGAGAAAUGUUUCUUAACCAGGGCUACAUCAGCCAGUGAAGGGGGAUACGCUCUCAAAUGCAAACCCUGGAAAACCAGAUGGAUAAGAAGCAGACCUGGAGUUCAAGAUGGGCUCCAAAGGUAAGAGAGGUAGGUUCAGAUCCUGCUUCAGAGCUAACUAGUUGUAUGACCCUGGGCAAGUUACCUAAUCUCCUUAAACCUGUUUCUUCCUCUGUAAAAUCGGGAUAAUAAAACCUACAUUACAGGGUUUGGGAGCUUUAAAAGAAGUAACUGCAGGUCACGUACACAGCCCAGUGUGUGGUAAACAAAAAUGUACUUGGUAAAUGUUAAACCAUUGUGCUUGGAAGUGGUGUGGGCUAAUGGUCAAGAGCCUUGGGUCCGGAGCCAGACUGUUUGGGUUCAAAUCCCACCCUUAGCAUUUAAUAGCUGAGAGCAUUGGGUAACCUUAACUGACUCAAUUUAUCUGUCAUUAAAAUGGAAUUUUAUUACAACAUAGCAGAUAUUUAAUAAAUAUUAGCUACUUUUAUUUCAUUGGCAGUAAAAACAAUUGAUUGAGUUUCCACCUCAAUCAACAACGUAGUAGUGAAUUAAAUGAGAAUUCAGUACAAUGCGUAUUUUUAAAAAAUUGUGAAGACCUUGUAUGCAUUUAUGACUUUUUUGGGCAGAGUCAAGCUGCGAUGCUAAGGGUGUGGUUAAACUGUAAUAUGAAGGAAAAAAUUCAAACAGGGAGCAUAAACCACCCACCAGGGAGCUAUUUCUUUUGUAAUGUGCAUUCCAUUUCUUCUCCCUCAUGCUUUUUAAUUCUUUCCAUAUCUCCUGCCAUAAUUAUCAAAUGUUUAGUU